Molecule: ribosomal RNA, 557 nt
Filed under: Meyerozyma caribbica
Lineage: Eukaryota; Fungi; Ascomycota; Pichiomycetes; Serinales; Debaryomycetaceae
Description: eukaryotic LSU rRNA
Rfam family: Eukaryotic large subunit ribosomal RNA
Source: RNAcentral
GCAUAUCAAUAAGCGGAGGAAAAGAAACCAACAGGGAUUGCCUUAGUAGCGGCGAGUGAAGCGGCAAAAGCUCAAAUUUGAAAUCUGGCACCUUCGGUGUCCGAGUUGUAAUUUGAAGAUUGUAACCUUGGGGUUGGCUCUUGUCUAUGUUUCUUGGAACAGGACGUCACAGAGGGUGAGAAUCCCGUGCGAUGAGAUGCCCAAUCCUAUGUAAGGUGCUUUCGAAGAGUCGAGUUGUUUGGGAAUGCAGCUCUAAGUGGGUGGUAAAUUCCAUCUAAAGCUAAAUAUUGGCGAGAGACCGAUAGCGAACAAGUACAGUGAUGGAAAGAUGAAAAGAACUUUGAAAAGAGAGUGAAAAAGUACGUGAAAUUGUUGAAAGGGAAGGGUUUGAGAUCAGACUCGAUAUUUUGUGAGCCUUGCCUUCGUGGCGGGGUGACCCGCAGCUUAUCGGGCCAGCAUCGGUUUGGGCGGUAGGAUAAUGGCGUAGGAAUGUGACUUUGCUUCGGUGAAGUGUUAUAGCCUGCGUUGAUGCUGCCUGCCUAGACCGAGGACUGCGA